GGUCCGUUGGUCAAGAGGUUAAGACACCGCGUUUUCAUCGCGGUAACACGGGUUCGAGUCCCGUACGGACUA
Molecule: transfer RNA, 72 nt
Filed under: Streptococcaceae bacterium
Lineage: Bacteria; Bacillati; Bacillota; Bacilli; Lactobacillales; Streptococcaceae
Description: tRNA-Glu
Rfam family: tRNA
About the family: Transfer RNA (tRNA) molecules are approximately 80 nucleotides in length.
Source: RNAcentral